GGUUAAGCGACUAAGCGUACACGGUGGAUGCCCUGGCAGUCAGAGGCGAUGAAGGACGUGCUAAUCUGCGAUAAGCGUCGGUAAGGUGAUAUGAACCGUUAUAACCGGCGAUUUCCGAAUGGGGAAACCCAGUGUGAUUCGUCACACUAUCAUUAACUGAAUCCAUAGGUUAAUGAGGCGAACCGGGGGAACUGAAACAUCUAAGUACCCCGAGGAAAAGAAAUCAACCGAGAUUCCCCCAGUAGCGGCGAGCGAACGGGGAGGAGCCCAGAGCCUGAAUCAGUGUGUGUGUUAGUGGAAGCGUCUGGAAAGGCGCGCGAUACAGGGUGACAGCCCCGUACACAAAAAUGCACAUGCUGUGAGCUCGAUGAGUAGGGCGGGACACGUGGUAUCCUGUCUGAAUAUGGGGGGACCAUCCUCCAAGGCUAAAUACUCCUGACUGACCGAUAGUGAACCAGUACCGUGAGGGAAAGGCGAAAAGAACCCCGGCGAGGGGAGUGAAAAAGAACCUGAAACCGUGUACGUACAAGCAGUGGGAGCCUCUUUAUGGGGUGACUGCGUACCUUUUGUAUAAUGGGUCAGCGACUUAUAUUCUGUAGCAAGGUUAACCGAAUAGGGGAGCCGAAGGGAAACCGAGUCUUAACUGGGCGUUAAGUUGCAGGGUAUAGACCCGAAACCCGGUGAUCUAGCCAUGGGCAGGUUGAAGGUUGGGUAACACUAACUGGAGGACCGAACCGACUAAUGUUGAAAAAUUAGCGGAUGACUUGUGGCUGGGGGUGAAAGGCCAAUCAAACCGGGAGAUAGCUGGUUCUCCCCGAAAGCUAUUUAGGUAGCGCCUCGUGAACUCAUCUCCGGGGGUAGAGCACUGUUUCGGCAAGGGGGUCAUCCCGACUUACCAACCCGAUGCAAACUGCGAAUACCGGAGAAUGUUAUCACGGGAGACACACGGCGGGUGCUAACGUCCGUCGUGAAGAGGGAAACAACCCAGACCGCCAGCUAAGGUCCCAAAGUCAUGGUUAAGUGGGAAACGAUGUGGGAAGGCCCAGACAGCCAGGAUGUUGGCUUAGAAGCAGCCAUCAUUUAAAGAAAGCGUAAUAGCUCACUGGUCGAGUCGGCCUGCGCGGAAGAUGUAACGGGGCUAAACCAUGCACCGAAGCUGCGGCAGCGACGCUUAUGCGUUGUUGGGUAGGGGAGCGUUCUGUAAGCCUGUGAAGGUGUGCUGUGAGGCAUGCUGGAGGUAUCAGAAGUGCGAAUGCUGACAUAAGUAACGAUAAAGCGGGUGAAAAGCCCGCUCGCCGGAAGACCAAGGGUUCCUGUCCAACGUUAAUCGGGGCAGGGUGAGUCGACCCCUAAGGCGAGGCCGAAAGGCGUAGUCGAUGGGAAACAGGUUAAUAUUCCUGUACUUGGUGUUACUGCGAAGGGGGACGGAGAAGGCUAUGUUGGCCGGGCGACGGUUGUCCCGGUUUAAGCGUGUAGGCUGGUUUUCCAGGCAAAUCCGGAAAAUCAAGGCUGAGGCGUGAUGACGAGGCACUACGGUGCUGAAGCAACAAAUGCCCUGCUUCCAGGAAAAGCCUCUAAGCAUCAGGUAACAUCAAAUCGUACCCCAAACCGACACAGGUGGUCAGGUAGAGAAUACCAAGGCGCUUGAGAGAACUCGGGUGAAGGAACUAGGCAAAAUGGUGCCGUAACUUCGGGAGAAGGCACGCUGAUAUGUAGGUGAAGUCCCUCGCGGAUGGAGCUGAAAUCAGUCGAAGAUACCAGCUGGCUGCAACUGUUUAUUAAAAACACAGCACUGUGCAAACACGAAAGUGGACGUAUACGGUGUGACGCCUGCCCGGUGCCGGAAGGUUAAUUGAUGGGGUCAGCGCAAGCGAAGCUCUUGAUCGAAGCCCCGGUAAACGGCGGCCGUAACUAUAACGGUCCUAAGGUAGCGAAAUUCCUUGUCGGGUAAGUUCCGACCUGCACGAAUGGCGUAAUGAUGGCCAGGCUGUCUCCACCCGAGACUCAGUGAAAUUGAACUCGCUGUGAAGAUGCAGUGUACCCGCGGCAAGACGGAAAGACCCCGUGAACCUUUACUAUAGCUUGACACUGAACAUUGAGCCUUGAUGUGUAGGAUAGGUGGGAGGCUUAGAAGUGUGGACGCCAGUCUGCAUGGAGCCGACCUUGAAAUACCACCCUUUAAUGUUUGAUGUUCUAACGUUGACCCGUAAUCCGGGUUGCGGACAGUGUCUGGUGGGUAGUUUGACUGGGGCGGUCUCCUCCUAAAGAGUAACGGAGGAGCACGAAGGUUGGCUAAUCCUGGUCGGACAUCAGGAGGUUAGUGCAAUGGCAUAAGCCAGCUUGACUGCGAGCGUGACGGCGCGAGCAGGUGCGAAAGCAGGUCAUAGUGAUCCGGUGGUUCUGAAUGGAAGGGCCAUCGCUCAACGGAUAAAAGGUACUCCGGGGAUAACAGGCUGAUACCGCCCAAGAGUUCAUAUCGACGGCGGUGUUUGGCACCUCGAUGUCGGCUCAUCACAUCCUGGGGCUGAAGUAGGUCCCAAGGGUAUGGCUGUUCGCCAUUUAAAGUGGUACGCGAGCUGGGUUUAGAACGUCGUGAGACAGUUCGGUCCCUAUCUGCCGUGGGCGCUGGAGAACUGAGGGGGCUGCUCCUAGUACGAGAGGACCGGAGUGGACGCAUCACUGGUGUUCGGGUUGUCAUGCCAAUGGCACUGCCCGGUAGCUAAAUGCGGAAGAGAUAAGUGCUGAAAGCAUCUAAGCACGAAACUUGCCCCGAGAUGAGUUCUCCCUGACUCCUUGAGAGUCCUGAAGGAACGUUGAAGACGACGACGUUGAUAGGCCGGGUGUGUAAGCGCAGCGAUGCGUUGAGCUAACCGGUACUAAUGAACCGUGAGGCUUAACCUU
Molecule: ribosomal RNA, 2901 nt
Filed under: Escherichia coli
Lineage: Bacteria; Pseudomonadati; Pseudomonadota; Gammaproteobacteria; Enterobacterales; Enterobacteriaceae
Description: 23S ribosomal RNA
Rfam family: Bacterial large subunit ribosomal RNA
Source: RNAcentral